UAAAGAUCACACUUCAAACAGCUUUUAUUUCUCAAUGCAUGGAGGCAGUGAGGUAAAUUUAAUUUAUUAAAUCAAUUACUCCCAUUUUAUUCCACAAUUCCCCCUGCACUAUAUAUUUUUACUUUUCUCUGCUCUCACACACCUGACUCAAGAAAUCAGCUAAUUAACAAGGCUUUAACAGGAUUAAGAAGUUAGAUGCACAGAAUAUCAUGCUUGAAUACUCUUUAGUCUCACUUCAGUCCAAUAAGAUGUGAAAUGUUAAAAUGUGGGGAACAUCUAAGGACCUAAGGAUCUCGUUAGCAUGCCUUUGACUUGUGAUUCUGGUGAAAUGAAUGAGCACAUGGUCAAAAUAUAGAGAACUUGCUUAUUAGGAAGUUAAAAGAAGAAAGAGUAUACAAGAAGGAGAGGAAAGAAGAAGGAAUGAACAGUAAGCUGGUUUUGGAGAUCUUGACAGGAUAUCAGAGGAAAAUCAGGCACGCAGCCAGCAGGGUUCCUACCAGCUCUGAGCUGCAGUUGUUCACUGGGGCUGACAAGUGCUGAUGUCUUUAUGAGAGCGAUCACAAAUGCUCCUCUCUGCUGCUGUAGGAGCCUAGCGAGAUUUCCAUCCUGGGAGUCGAACCAAAUUGAAUGACUCCGACUCUCACCUGAGAAAUACACAGGAAGCAUCUAUAAAAAGUACAUGGACCUGAGACACAUCACCGCUUUAAACCUGCACCUAUUGUGGAAGCUUCAGGCUGAUGGGAUGUUGUUUGCUGACCGUGUCU
Molecule: long non-coding RNA, 764 nt
Organism: Pangasianodon hypophthalmus (striped catfish)
Lineage: Eukaryota; Metazoa; Chordata; Actinopteri; Siluriformes; Pangasiidae
Exons: 3
Source: RefSeq, a predicted model, not a curated record